AACGAACGCUGGCGGCGUGGAUUAGGCAUGCAAGUCGAGCGCGAAAGUGGCUUCGGCCACGAGUAGAGCGGCACAAGGGUGAGUAGCACAUGGACAAUCUGCCCUUGAGACUGGAAUAACGGCGGGAAACUGCCGCUAAUGCCGGAUGGCCCUGCAGCGCGGCAUCGCGCAGCAGGUAAAGGUGGGGAUCCUUCGGGACCUGCCGCUCAAGGAGGAGUUCAUGCCCUAUCAGCUAGUUGGUGAGGUAACGGCCCACCAAAGCGAUGACGGGUAGGCGGCCUGAGAGGGUGACCGCCCACACUGGGACUGAGACACUGCCCAGACUCCUACGGGAGGCUGCAGUCGAGAAUCUUCCGCAAUGGACGCAAGUCUGACGGAGCGACGCCGCGUGCGGGAUGAAGGGCUUUGGCUUGUAAACCGCUGUCAGGUCUUGAGAAGGCGCACGGGAGAAUGCCCCGUUGCGUUGACCACGAACCG
Molecule: ribosomal RNA, 477 nt
Filed under: uncultured bacterium
Lineage: Bacteria
Description: bacterial SSU rRNA
Rfam family: Bacterial small subunit ribosomal RNA
Source: RNAcentral